GCAGUAGCUCAGUGGUAAGAGGUUCUGAUUUGCAUACAGAAGGUCCCAGGUUCAAUCCCCAGCAUCUCCC
Podarcis lilfordi (Lilford's wall lizard) is the source of this 70-nucleotide non-coding RNA. The record is from the annotation of a GenBank genome assembly. NCBI's taxonomy places the organism in Eukaryota, Metazoa, Chordata, Lepidosauria, Squamata, Lacertidae.